CAAGUACUGGUCUCUGCAGAUUGAGGAGAGCACCGCAGUUGUCACCACGCAGUCUGCCGAGGUUGGAGCUGC
Molecule: microRNA precursor, 72 nt
Organism: Pan troglodytes (chimpanzee)
Lineage: Eukaryota; Metazoa; Chordata; Mammalia; Primates; Hominidae
Rfam family: mir-622 microRNA precursor family
Source: Rfam